This 464-nucleotide ribosomal RNA is filed under the name uncultured bacterium. RNAcentral's name for it is "partial 16S ribosomal RNA". It matches the Rfam family "Bacterial small subunit ribosomal RNA", at positions 28 to 507 of the family's 1533-position model. The record is from RNAcentral.
GACGAACGCUGGCGGCGUGCUUAACACAUGCAAGUCGAACGGAAAGGCCCUGCUUGCCGGGUACUCGAGUGACGAACGGGUGAGUAACACGUGGGUGAUCUGCCCUGCAAUUCGGGAUAAGCCUGUGCAACUGGGUCUAAUACCGGCUAGGAGCCAUUUUUAGUGUGAUGGUUGGAAAGUUUUUUCGGUGUAUGAUGAGCGCGCGGCCUAUCAGCUAGCUGGUGGGGUAAUGACCUACCAAGGCGGCGACGGGUAGCCGGCCUGCGAGGUUUGACGGCCACAUGGGGACUGCGAGACGGCCCAGACGCCUACGGUAGGCAGCAGUGGGGAAUAUUGCACAAUGGGGGCAAGCCUGAUGCAGCGACGUCGCGUGGGUGAUGACGGCCUUCGGGUGGUAAACACCUUUCGCUAGGGACGAAGCUUUUGUGACGGUACCUAGAGAAGAAGCACCGGCUAACUACGUG